This 96-nucleotide small nucleolar RNA is filed under the name Erinaceus europaeus (western European hedgehog). RNAcentral describes it as "Small nucleolar RNA SNORA9 (ENSEEUG00000023156.1)". The record is from RNAcentral. Lineage: Eukaryota; Metazoa; Chordata; Mammalia; Eulipotyphla; Erinaceidae.
AUGCAGUCCUCCAGAGUCUGCUAGAACACUGUCAAACUAUUUAAGGUCUUGCUCUGCUCCACUCAGAGCAAGGUUUAUAGGUAUUUCCAGACGGAG